AUAAACAUGUAUAAAUAAAUAAAGAUGACACAUACAUUACUGUUUGAUGUUAAAAUGUAUAAGAACAAAUAAUACUAAUAUAAAUUGAAACUGAUAAUAAGUAGAUCAGCGUAUUACAUCUUUCACUAAAGACCAUAUAGACAGUGAUAAGUAAUAGUUAUUGCUCUAAAUCGUUGCAAUUUUAACAUUUGUUUAUUAAGAGAAAAAUUAAUACAUAUCACCAUAAAUUAAUAAAUAUCUAAAUGACUAUGCAAAUGAACCAUGGAAAGUAUGGGCCAAUGGAGAGAAUGUCUCAAUAUUUUUAUCAUCUCUGCCUUGCACUCUUCAGAAUGGAUGUGCUGAGCUGACUCAAGCAUUCUUCCUUAAUCACGAUUAAGUAUCCUCCAUAUGAGAGAGACCAAUGAUGGACACUUCUGAGCUGGCAGAACAUCUGGCCUUGGUCUGGAGCCAUAUGUCUGCUCCUCUGUAGACGUGCACAUGGGCAGUAAUGGAUGCAGUGAGCUGAUCAUUUUGCUGUGAUGAAGGCUAUGUUGCCUCUAUGUUACGCCAAUAAUGGACGUGCCUUCACUGACCUACGUGUUUGCAAGUUCCAUGGCUGCCCCCCGUGUUUGGAGCAUGGAGACCGAUGGAAGAUGACAAGCACUGAUCAAGGAGGACUGUCUCGUCUGUUUGUGAUCUGCUCUGCUCUGUGAGCCUCGGGAUGGAUGUUCGCCAGCUGAUCCCAUGGUUACAAGCUCUGUGGCUGCAUCUAUGCGUUCGGAGCGUGCAGACCAAUGUGAGUCAUUGCCAAUGCUCCUUGUUUUGAAGGAGCAUCGACUAUUU
This 822-nucleotide long non-coding RNA is filed under the name Saimiri boliviensis boliviensis (Bolivian squirrel monkey). RNAcentral's name for it is "lncRNA (ENSSBOG00000036670.1)". The record is from RNAcentral. Lineage: Eukaryota; Metazoa; Chordata; Mammalia; Primates; Cebidae.